GACGAACGCUGGCGGCGUGCUUAACACAUGCAAGUCGAACGGAAAGGCCCUGCUUUUGUGGGGUGCUCGAGUGGCGAAAGGGUGAGUAACACGUGAGUAACCUGCCCUUGACUUUGGGAUAACUUCAGGAAACUGGGGCUAAUACCGGAUAGGAGCUCCUGCUGCAUGGUGGGGGUUGGCAAGUUUCGGCGGUUGGGGAUGGACUCGCGGCUUAUCAGCUUGUUGGUGGGGUAGUGGCUUACCAAGGCUUUGACGGGUAGCCGGCCUGAGAGGGUGACCGGCCACAUUGGGACUGAGAUACGGCCCAGACUCCUACGGGAGGCUGCAGUGGGGAAUAUUGCACAAUGGGCGGAAGCCUGAUGCAGCAACGCCGCGUGCGAGAUGACGGCCUUCGGGUUGUAAACCGCUUUCGCCUGUGACGAAGCGUGAGUGACGGUAAUGGGUAAAGAAGCACCGGCUAACUACGUG
Molecule: ribosomal RNA, 468 nt
Filed under: uncultured bacterium
Lineage: Bacteria
Description: partial 16S ribosomal RNA
Rfam family: Bacterial small subunit ribosomal RNA
Source: RNAcentral